GACGAACGCUGGCGGCGUGCUUAACACAUGCAAGUCGAACGAUGACGACCGAGCUUGCUCGGUCUGAUUAGUGGCGAACGGGUGAGUAACACGUGAGCAACCUGCCCUUCACUCUGGGAUAACCUCGGGAAAUCGGGGCUAAUACCGGAUAUGAGCUCCUGUCGCAUGGCGGGUGUUGGAAAGUUUUUCGGUGAAGGAUGGGCUCGCGGCCUAUCAGUUUGUUGGUGAGGUAGUGGCUCAUCAAGGCGAUGACGGGUAGCCGGCCUGAGAGGGCGACCGGCCACACUGGGACUGAGACACGGCCCAGACUCCUACGGGAGGCAGCAGUGGGGAAUAUUGCACAAUGGGCGAAAGCCUGAUGCAGCGACGCCGCGUGAGGGAUGACGGCCUUCGGGUUGUAAACCUCUUUCAGCAGGGAAGAAGCGAAAGUGACGGUACCUGCAGAAGAAGCGCCGGCUAACUACGUG
Molecule: ribosomal RNA, 467 nt
Filed under: uncultured bacterium
Lineage: Bacteria
Description: partial 16S ribosomal RNA
Rfam family: Bacterial small subunit ribosomal RNA
Source: RNAcentral